UACGUAGGGUGCGAGCGUUAAUCGGAAUUACUGGGCGUAAAGCGUGCGCAGGCGGUUUUGUAAGACAGAUGUGAAAUCCCCGGGCUUAACCUGGGACCUGCAUUUGUGACUGCAAGGCUAGAGUACGGUAGAGGGGGAUGGAAUUCCGCGUGUAGCAGUGAAAUGCGUAGAUAUGCGGAGGAACACCGAUGGCGAAGGCAAUCCCCUGGACCUGUACUGACGCUCAUGCACGAAAGCGUGGGGAGCAAACAGG
RNAcentral lists this ribosomal RNA (253 nucleotides) under uncultured bacterium. Its description in RNAcentral is "partial 16S ribosomal RNA". It matches the Rfam family "Bacterial small subunit ribosomal RNA", at positions 524 to 776 of the family's 1533-position model. The record is from RNAcentral.